CGGAGGAUCCAAGCGUUAUCCGGAAUCAUUGGGUUAAAGGGUCCGUAGGCGGUUUAAUAAGUCAGUGGUGAAAGCCUAUCGCUUAACGAUAGAACGGCCAUUGAUACUGUUAGACUUGAAUUAGUGGGAAGUAACUAGAAUAUGUAGUGUAGCGGUGAAAUGCUUAGAUAUUACAUGGAAUACCAAUUGCGAAGGCAGGUUACUAUCACUAUAUUGACGCUGAUGGACGAAAGCGUGGGGAGCGAACAGGAUUAGAUACCCUGGUAGUCCACGCCGUAAACGAUGGAUACUAGCUGUUCGGAGCAAUCUGAGUGGCUAAGCGAAAGUGAUAAGUAUCCCACCUGGGGAGUACGUUCGCAAGAAUG
Molecule: ribosomal RNA, 365 nt
Filed under: uncultured organism
Description: bacterial SSU rRNA
Rfam family: Bacterial small subunit ribosomal RNA
Source: RNAcentral